This is an RNA transcript of Limanda limanda (common dab), 4079 nucleotides long. It is a transcript of the gene named calcium/calmodulin-dependent protein kinase type IV, with no coding region annotated. The record is from RefSeq and is a predicted model, not a curated record. NCBI's taxonomy places the organism in Eukaryota, Metazoa, Chordata, Actinopteri, Pleuronectiformes, Pleuronectidae. The transcript is spliced from 12 exons.
UCGAACAGCGACAUCCGGCACCGAGGCAGUCCGGGCUCCUCUCUGUUCGGGCUCCGGAGGAACCGAGCGACUCGACCGGUUCACCGGGAGAUCCGGAUCCACCCCGGUGGGGGGGGGGGGCGAACCGAUCCGACAUCUGAGGCUCUGCGGCCCGAUGGGAGCUGCGACAUAUCCGGACCCGGAGCGCCUGGAUCCCGGUUCCUGAUCCGUGUGGGGGGGUCUCGGUGUGCUCGGUCCCGGGCGGAUCCUCGUCCUCGUGCUGGUCCGGAUUCAAACGAUCAUGACUCAUCCGCCUGCGAUCCUCUAAUCUGGAUUUAAACCUGAGACCGGAUCUGGAUUAGUCUGCUCCUGGUUCUGAUCGGGUCCAUCUGACCCGGUCUGAACAGGUCUGGGUCCCGGUGUGAUCUCUGGUCCUGUCUAGUCCUGGUUCUCUCUGCUGUCAUCAUGCCGACGUCCCGGCCUGGUUCCGAUCCGGUGGAGUUCUGGGUGGAGGGUUCGAGGCGGGACGGGACCGUGGAGGAGUUCUACACCCUGAGCUCCGAGCUGGGCAGAGGAGCCACGUCCAUCGUUUAUCGCUGUGAAGAGAAACAGACUCAGAAACUCUACGCUGUCAAAGUCCUCAAGAAAACGAUUGACAAGAAAAUAGUUCGUACAGAAAUUGGAGUCCUGCUGCGUCUGACUCAUCCAAACAUCAUCCAGCUGAAGGAGAUCUUUGAGACGGACACUGACAUCGCUCUGGUUCUGGAGCUCGUGACUGGUGGAGAGCUGUUUGACAGGAUCGUGGAAAGAGGUUACUACAGCGAGAGAGACGCCGCUCACGUCAUCAAACAAAUCCUGGAGGCUGUGGCGUAUUUACAUGAACAUGGCGUGGUGCAUCGUGACCUGAAACCAGAGAACCUGCUGUAUGCCGACCUGUCACUGGACGCUCCGCUCAAGAUAGCCGACUUUGGUCUCUCCAAAAUCAUCGAUGACCAAGUCACCAUGAAGACGGUGUGUGGUACCCCGGGGUACUGCGCUCCAGAGAUUCUGAGGGGAAACGCCUACGGACCUGAAGUGGACAUGUGGUCAGUGGGCGUCAUCCUCUACAUCCUACUGUGUGGGUUCGAGCCCUUCUUCGACCCGAGGGGCGAUCAGUACAUGUACAGCAGAAUCCUCAACUGCGACUACGAGUUUGUGUCUCCGUGGUGGGACGAGGUUUCCCUCAAUGCAAAGGACCUGGUGAGCAAGCUGAUCGUGCUGGACCCUCACAAGCGCCUCAGUGUCCGGGAGGCUCUGCAGCACCCGUGGGUGCUGGGCAAGGCCGCCCGCUUCUCCCACAUGGACACCACCCAGAGGAAGCUGCAGGAGUUCAACGCUCGGCGUAAGCUCAAGGCUGCCAUGAAGGCCGUGGUCGCCACCAGCCGCAUGAACGAGGGGUCGCGGCGUCGUACCGACAGCUGUGAGAUCCCGGGCUCAGGGGCGUCCAGGCAGAGCAGCAUGCAGCAGGACCAGCCUCCUGAUUCCACAGACCCCGCCCCUUCAGACCAAGAAGCCCCGCCCUCAGAUCAACGGCCACAAGAAGAUGAAUCAAAGCCCAACGACAAAAGUGCUCGUAGCCCCUCGUCUCCACGUGUUCUCAAACCCCCCAGCUCUGAUGUCACGGCCACAGAGCCCGCCCCCCCCACCAGGCCACCGCUGCGGGCCGACGGGCUGCGGCAGGCGUCCGUCUGUCCUAAAACUGUCCUGGUCCAACCCCGACCGCCGCAGAAGAGCUGCUCCAUGGUAGAGCCCGCCUCCAGAGUCCAGGUCACGCCGUCGAGUCCCAACAGCCUCACUAAUGGCUUCACGCCAGGGGCGGAGCCAGCCAGUAAGAUGCCCCACGGCCAGUGAUCACCUGACAGAGCGGCCCCAGCUUCACACAAUCACAACAAUCACGAGGUUCGGCCGUUUCGCUCCAACUUCAUUCAUUUAAAACAUUUUACUUGUAGCCGCCUCUUCCAGUGCUAGUCCAUCAGCUGAUGCUAACAUGCUAACAGCUACGUACUCACAGUUGUUUUAUACCAGUGGUUGAGCUGCUGGUUUUUAGAGGUUUGUCCAGUUCAGGAAUCAUACGAGCUGUUUGUUUUACUGUGGUGAGAAAAACCCCAGAGACGCUAACAGACGCCUCAAGCUAAGCUAACAGCUGCUGAGGCUAAACGCUAACUGAACGGGAAACCUCCCAGACAUCAUCUGAACGCAGCUUCGGGUGAAACCCCUGAUCUCCUGGUUAUGACGUGAGAAGCAGUGUUAACGUUAGUGGGCGUGGUCAAGUUUGAGCAGAAUGCUGCUAGGCAACAUCAACAUGGAUGUUAAAAUAACAAUCCCUGUUAACACGCUGCAGGAAAUAAAAAGGCUCAUUGACACGGAGCAAAGUCAAAGCCAAAUGAAACAUCAACAUUUCCUUUGAUGGAAAAUUAAGAAAAACAAGAAACAAUACAAAAUGUUCAUAAUCACUGUUUCUGUGGUGGUGACGACCACAAGAGGGCAGCGUUCACAUCAGCUUCUACACCUUAUCAAGAGGAAGGAAACUCAAGAUGUUUCCUGUUAAACUCCUCUGACUUCUUGUUGAAAACAGUUGUGAUAUUAUCAUAAAUGAUCCUUUUCCAGUUGUGUGUAAAACAUUGCUGUUUUAGUCAAGAGAUUUAAAUAUAUCUCUGAAUAUAUAAUUAUAGAGUUAAUGUUGGAUUUUAUUGGUGGUUUAUCUUCCAUUAAUAAUAUUUGUCACCAAAUGUAAGAAGUCGGAGGCUGGUUAUGUAAAAUCACGGGUUAAACGAUAUGACAUGAACAUGAAACCCUCUUCAGGCUCAGAUCAAACCACGUCUCUGUGUUUGGUUCUUACCACAUUAAAAAACCUGAAGUGAACCAGUGAAGUGAACCAGUGAAGUGAAGCGGUUCUGGAAACAUCUGGAAUCCAGCUGCUGGGAAUCAGGUUCAGAACCUGAAGAUGCUGGGAGCAGAUCUCAGGAUCUGAUCUGAGAUCUGUCUUUCUGUUUGAAUGGAGGAAAGGAAUGAAGCUUCAUCUGGUUGCCAUGGUGACAUCAUGAUGGUAUCAAUAGGAGCAUCAGCUACUUCAGGCGCAGUACUCCACAGUACUACAGUACUCCACAGUACUAAAGUACUCCACAAUACUCCACAGUUCUACAGUACUCCACAGUUCUACAGUACUCCACAGUACUACAGUACUCCACAGUACACUACAGUACUCCACAGUACUCUACAGUACUACAGUACUCCACAGUACUCUAUAUGGUUAAUGGUUUGUAUAUAACACUUUUCUAGUCUUGAUGACACUCAAUGUCUUGACAGUAGUUUUCCAUUCACACACACAUUCACACAAAGCAUCUCUUAGCAGCACUUCUUGUUCUAUGAGGGCAGGUCGGGGGUCAGCGUCUUGCCCAAGGACCCUUCGGCACGCAGAUGGGGACGACUGGGGAUCGAACUGCCGACCUUCUGGUUGAAGGACAACCGCUCUACCCCUCACCCAGUACUCCACAGUACUCCACAGUACUGCAGUACUCCACUAGGAUGAACGUCCUCGUGGUUCAAACAUUAUAUCGUCGGAGGGGCUUCCAAAAGAGGAAACCAACCAGCGGUGGCUCGGACACUUCAACCUGCACAGCGAAGCUUAGACGAGUCAUGUGACUGAUAAGAACCAAUCAGGAAGAGAACGUCUGAGUCAUCGUUUACUAAAGUCUCAGUUUCUGUUCAGACUCAAACACAAACCCAGAGUUUAAGAAGCUGAAACGAGACCAGUUUACACCGGUCUCUGAUCCAGAGGCUGGAAAACUCCACCAGGUGUAACCAUAGCAACGGGGAUGAGGUUUAAAACGGUUGUCAUGGUGAUCGCUGUGUGCGUUGUUCUGUCUCAGCCACCGUACAAACAUGUCGGUCCCUUUAAAGAGGAAGUGAGCGCACAAACCUUUUGACCUCUGACCUGAGGCUGAAGGGCUCUGAUUGGUCGAGGAGCUCUGACAGAUGUGUGUGUUCCUCAGGUGAGAAACUCGGACGAAUCUCGACUCUUCUGUACAAACAUGAAUAUUUUACUUCUAUUAAUCUGCCUG